UUAAAAAAAAAAAAAACUUAUUGUAAAAAAAGGUUCGAUAACAAGAAUUGAAAUACUUCAUUACUUACCAACUUCUUCUUUUUAUAUUAGAUCUUUCGCCUGAAGAAAAAGAAAAGGGGAGGAGAAACCCUUUUGCAGAGGUUUGACGUUUGAGAUGAAUGUUUGAGUUCUGUUUGGAGAUAAACCUUUGGAAACACACAUAAUUAUUAAAACAAGCCCAACUUGAUUGGAUCAUUUUAAGUCUAAAAUAUGAGCCCAACCUGAAAUAAGGCCUAAGAAUAGGGGUCCAACUUUGUUGAGAUGAAAUUCAUAAUCCACUCCCUUCAUCCCCACCACCAAGAGGAUACAGGCCAACAGCCUCUGUGGUGAUAUUGUUGUCAGUAAAUUUCCUGAGAAAAUGCAACAAAAUGACUAAUUAUCGAUUUUUAAUUUGUACUACAUAUGAAAGCAGAAAGUAGAUUCACAUCGGAGUAGGGAUCACAAUGUACGCGCUACAGGAGGAAAAUGGUGUACAAGUUCAUUUUAUACUCACAUGUAGAUGUAGAUUGUGUUAACAAGGGCAACUAAUCAUCUAAAUUUUGGCAGAUUUAGGCCUUGAUUACUAUUUACUAGUCGUUUUUUUUUGUUUUACCAAUUUACUAGUUUUGAAUUCUCUUCAUGAGUCAUGAGUCAAUGAAGGUUUUUUUUUUUUUGGGCCUAUUUUGGUAAAGUUGGGCUCCUUUUAAUUUUCUUCCCAACCGUUGGCGGACUCGGCUCUUCCCAAUUUUGCUGGGAAUUUUAUGAUGCCCAGUUGGAGAAUUUGGUGCUGUAAUUUUGUGUUUCGUAAACGAAAAUGUGGUGCUCCUAAUUUUUCUAAAAUGGAUUGUGACUUUCCAAGAUAUGGUCCUCUAGAUGACCUUGAUGUUAAAAUUAUGUGUUACUGUCCUUGACAGUGAUUUAAGGGAGAAUAUGGAAUUACUUGCCACUUGCACACCUACAUAAUCUAAAAUGCGGAAGUACUCAUACAGUAAAUGGCAGGUUCCAAAUCACUGUAUACACACCAUUUGGAAGUUAAAGAGUGGCAAUGGGAGUCUCUUUGUCUAUGAAUAUUAGAACGUUUAGCAGGCAAUUUGAUGUAAGUACAUCUUCAUCACUAAUUAAAAGUAACCAAAUUAAUUGGGCAUAUGAAAAAAAACAAGUUUGUGAUUAUUUUUAACUUACCAAUUUGCCUUAUUUAUUUAUUUAAUUUGCUAAGUUUUAUUAAUAAAGAAAAAAACACACACAAGAUCGUGGGGGAGAGAGACCAUCUAAUUGGCCAGCCACCGAGGUAUUGAUUGGUCAUUUAGUUAUACCCCGAUAUCACAAUAUUCGGCAGUAUGAAAUUUUUUUUUUUUUUUUUUAUAAAGCGCAGUAUGGCAUAGAAGUCUUAAUGAAAACAAUAUUGUACUCCUUGUAUCACAGCAUAUUGAACUCUAUUAGAAGAAACAAUAUUGUGAUUUAUGAUCACUACUGAAUAGAAAUUAAACUACAUCUGUAUACUUGCNNNNNNNNNNNNNNNNNNNNNNNNNNNNNNNNNNNNNNNNNNNNNNNNNNNNNNNNNNNNNNNNNNNNNNNNNNNNNNNNNNNNNNNNNNNNNNNNNNNNGAGAUUUACCGCUACUGCUUGGGGCUUGGAAGAACUAAACAUGGUUGCAGUCAAAAUACAACCUGGAGUUUGGCAUUGUUCAACCUAAAGGCCAAUAUUCCCAGACAUGCAGUUUACUUGAUCACUUCAAUCAUUCAACUGUCUCUUCACGGAAAAUUGAGGCAGCUGAGAAAUGUACCCAACCACAAGUCCACAACCUAGCUGAAAAAGAUAUUUCUGGUUUUUUUAGUGUUAAAUUUAGCUGAAAAAGAUUCAAAUGUGAUAAAGAAGAGAAAGAUGGGUGUGAACUCUUUUCUUAUAGCAGAUCUGAAUUAGUUGAUCGGUGGAGUAAUACAGUGGUAGAUGAGGUACCGAGGGUGAGGGAAACCCGGGAUACACUACCAACUGUACCAUGUUCUUCAAAUUCAGGUAAAGUCACAGUUUAUCCGGAGAGUGUGAGUUUUCGAGUUACUUCUUAGAUUUGGUGUGGGUGUAUGUACAACAAGAUUGGGGUGGUCUUUUCUUUCAUGGGUUACUGAAGGUAAGAUCCGAGAGAGAAGGGUUGAGUCUUAAGGAGUAUAGUUAGACAUCUGGUUAAGACUUGAAGAUGACGGGAAGAGGGAUUGGCCAUAGGCAGUAUGGAGGGGAAAUAAGAAGUCUUGAAAAGAGAUUUACAGUAGUGGAAAGGAAGACGUUAGUCUUCGAGAGAAGAAAAUCGGCAGCGGUUGAGGUGAGAAUUGCAAUUUCUGAAAAAGGGGUUAGAGGAUUUUUCAAAGCCACCACCACUGAAGGUGGAGGGCGGUGGCUAGGGCUUCUUUUGUGUUAGUUGAGCACAGAAGAGAUUAAACCAAGGAGAUAUAGCGAUGAGAAGGUAUCGAUUGUAGCCAAUCGGAAGGAGAACAAGCAGGGGAAGUACUUGGAAGUCAUUUUCACUAGGAAGUCAGGUGGAAGUGGUUUGAGAACUUUACGAUUACCGGCGGGGAAAAGUAAUGAUGGUUGGGCAGAUAUGGGGUUGUGUAUAAUGGAUAUGUUUACACCUGGAGUUAGAGAAGGAGGGAAUAGAAAGACUCAAGCAACACAGCCACCUUCUAGAAGGAGUGGUUUUCAACCUUUGAUGCAACCUGGUUCAAGGAAGAGGGAGACAUUAGAGAGGGGACGAGGGAACAAAAAACCCAAGUAAAGCCCAAAGAUUCCGCUGUAGGCAUUACUGGUGUAUGGAACAAGCACUCUAUCUCAAACUACUCAUGGUGGGGGGCUUCAGUAGUGUGCCUAUCCAACUCAAAAUUGGUGGAUUGGCAAUGGGUAAAAACGGAGGUGGACAAAAUAGUGGGUGAAAUUACUAUGACAAUUUUGAGUAAUGGGGAAGCUACUAUUGCAGCUGAAACGCAAGAACUGGCUAGAAAAUUAGUAGAAGUGGGAGGAUUGGAGAGGAGUGGGAUCAAAAUAAGCUUCAAGAGAUGGACUCCAGAAUUUGGUGCGCUGAAAGGGGUAGAGGAGAUCGAAAGGAGGUGGAUUCGGUUAGAGGGCAUACCACAUCAUUUGAAAUUUACAGAGGUGAUAACAAAACUGAUGAAUUCUAUCAGUAAGGAUUAUGAGAUUGAUCAAGAUUCGCUGAAUUAUAGAAGGGGAGAAGUAGUAAGGGUCAGAGUCAAGAAGAUAAGAAUAGAAGAGAUACCCAGAAUCAUGUUCAUGGAGGAGCGUGGCUACAGAUUCCCCAUCCUCUUAUCGAUUGAAGAGGAUGAGAAAGGGAACAAGAUAGUUUCUCCGACACAAACUGAAGGAGGUGACGACGGAGGAGAGAGACAGGUUCGAGUGCAGCAUGGAGUACAACAAGCUAAAACUCCCAUUACAUGUGCGAUUGCCAUUGCAGAGCACGUGGGUGUAGCGAGGAUUAACAACAUUGGGCCUGAAUCUGAAGGGAGCUGGGUCCAUAUUGCGAGUAAGCCUAACCCAAAUACGAAAAGGUUCGAGAUGGGGAAGACUUGGGCCCAAGUCGUCAGUACUAAUAGAUAUGAGCCGUUCAGAGAGGUCAUUGAAGAAACCCCAGCCCAAGAGGAGGAUAAGGGGAAUCCACCCGGUCCAGUGGUAGUGACAGUUGAGGAGAGUCAGAAUGGUAAGGGUCCAAUAGCACAAAGAGAGCCCAACACAGAGAAGAAACCAAUGCCCAGUGGUCUGUUUGGCAGUGGAUGCCCAAAUCUCCGAUUAUCGAAACAAUUAUGGCCCAGCAACAAAGGGGGCAGGAAACUGAGAUUUGGGAGAUUAAAGAGGAUCGCUCGGCAGGUUUUGGAGGAUGAAGAACAGAGGAAUGGGGAUAUAAACUCAGCCCCUUAUGCUCAGAUUGAUUGUGACUCAAUCUAUUAAGGGAAGUCAGAAGUGUCUGUAUCUAGCCCCACUUCACAUAUCAGACAGUUGAAACCUGGUGAAGGCUCGUCUCGACAGCACGCCCACAAAGGUAAGGGUCCUAUCUUUGUGAGCAGUAGAGAUGAUUGUGAAAUUCUGGGUCAUACUGAAUUUAGCGAAUUAAAUACUCCACCGCCGGGGUUCGAGAAUCGAUCACCAGCUAAGAGAGUAGUUAAUUUUGGCGCGCUCAUAGAUCAGGAAUUUUGCCAUCUGAGAACUGAGGAGGAAGUCAACAAAUGGGUCGAUACUAUCAUUGGGUCGAUAUCGAAGCAAUUAGGCUUGUCUUCAACCAAUGGGGACCAGGCAGUCAAAAAGUUUUUCUUAGAGCUUGGUUAUGCCAAGUUGAGGGAGAAACAAAAUCGGGUGAUUGACGAUGAGGAAAGAGAAAGGAUAAAUUAUGAGCUAUGCAACGAAGAGUUGUUGGGGAAGUCGGUUGCAUAUGGCUAAGGUAGUAACAUGGAAUGCAAGGGGUCUAUGCAAUUUAGAUGCCCAAGGGAGUAUUAGAUUGUUACUCACUCAAACAAAAGCGGAUGUGAUCAUGAUUCAAGAAACAAAAAUAAAGGAGAAGGAAGUUAUUAAUAAAGCAAAUAUGUGGCCGAAGGAGUGGAUGUGGGAGUUUGUACCUUCUAUUGGACUCUCGGGCGGUAUGCUUUUAGCAUGGAAUCCGGACGUAGUUGAAAUGAAGGCGUCAUUAUUGGGUAAGUUUUCUAUAUCAAUUUCUUGCACUAUCCUUAGUGUGAGUUUUGAAUGUAUGUUAACCGGGGUCUAUGGACCGAGUGACAAGAGGUUCUUGGGGGAGUUUUGGGAGGAAUUACACAAAAUUCGAUUGUGGUGUAAUCUCCCAUGGUGCAUUGGGGGUGAUUUUAACAUAAUCCGUUUCACGUAUGAGAAGAGAGGAGGUAGUGCUCUUACAAGACCGAUGAGGCAAUUUGCCGAGUUCGAAGAUAAAUAUGGUCUUGUGGAGCACUUUCUAGAAGGUGCUAUGUAUACUUGGUCAAACAAUCAAUGUGACCCGGUUAUGUCAAAGUUGGAUCGAUUUAUUACAUCGGUGGAUUGGGAGUUGUUUUUUGGAGGGUCAAAGCAACAAGCCCUUCCAAAGUACACUUUGGACCAUCGGGCUAUCCUAUUCGAAACCAUGGAAAUGAGACACAAGGUGAGGGCCUUUUUCGGUUUGAAAUCAUGUGGCUUUGAAGACAAGUCGUUUGGCGGGCUAAUCAAAACAUGGUGGGAGGAGUUCCACUGUGGAUGGGAACACCUAGUCACGUAUGGUGGANNNNNNNNNNNNNNNNNNNNNNNNNNNNNNNNNNNNNNNNNNNNNNNNNNNNNNNNNNNNNNNNNNNNNNNNNNNNNNNNNNNNNNNNNNNNNNNNNNNNUCAAGAAGUGGAAUAAAGAGGUGUUCGGGAGAGUGGAUCGGAAGAUAGAAAUGAGAAAUUCUUUUUUUUUAUUCCCAGAAACGCCCAGGAAGAAAUCGUGGAGUUAUCUAAUGAUGAGAUGAUGGAGAGGGCAAUUCUCCUGGAUAGCUUCCCCCACUCUCUCAAAAGGCAUCCAAUCAGGUUGAAACAAAAGCCGGGACUCCUCCAUAAAUAAGAGGGACAAACAAACUCUAAACCACUAUUUCCAUGCAUGGCCAACUUGAGGAGAAAAGUGAAUAGUCUCUCAUGUCUUAGUGUGGACGAGUCCAUAACUAGAGAUGCGGGAAAAAUCACUUAGUGUGGACGAGUCCAUAACUAGAGAUGCGGGAAAAAUCAAAGACCAUGUUACUUCCUUCUAUGAGAAGUUAUUUCAAGAGGAGCACAGAGGAUUCUCAAGGUGUGGAAAUGGAGAAAGAUUUUGAGGUGGAGGAGGUUCUUCAAGCUCUAAAAGAUAUGGAUGGAGAAAAAAUGCCGGGUCCCGAUGGUUUUCCAAUGGUUUUUUACAAAACUUUUUGGUAUGUGUUCCAAGGGGACAUAAUGGCUUUAGUGAAGGAAUUCCAAGAGACCGGUUUCUUGGAUUGGAGGUUGAACACUACUUUCAUUACAUUGAUUCCGAAGAAGGAAGGGGUGCUAUCGAUUAAUGAUUUUCGACCUAUAAGUCUCAUUGGGGGAGUGUACAAAAUAAUCUCGAAGGUGUUGGCAACAAGGAUGAGAAAGGUUAUACACAAAGUGGUCUCCGCUACUCAAGGUGCUUUCAUGGAGGACAAACAAAUCUUGGAUAGCGUACUAAUCGCCAAUGAUGAGAGGAUUAGGCAAGGAUCUCCUGGUAUUGUGUGCAAGGUGGACAUCACAAAAGCUUAUGACCAUGUGAAUAGGAGUUUCGUCGAUUAUCUCUUGGGGAGGAUGGGUUUUGGCAUUAAGUGGAGGAAGUGGGUUCGUACUUGCAUCUCUACGGCCAGAUUCUCCAUCAUGGUAGAUGGGGAACCGUCCGGCAAUUUCAAAUCUCAAAGAGGACUAAGACAAGGGGAUCCUCUCUCUCCUUCUCUCUUUCUUUUGGUCAUGGAGGCACUAUCUAGACUCACGGCCAAGUGUAUAAAUGAGGGUUUGCUUGAAGUCUUUCAAGUAGGCAAUGGUGAAGUGAAAGUUGGUAUGGUCCAAUUUGCGGACGAUACAAUUUUUCUCACGGAGCCAUCCUAUCAAGCUCUAGCCACAAUCAAGAUGGUGUUAUUCCUCUUCGAAGGUGUAUCCGGGUUUAAGGUGAACUUGGCAAAGUCUUCCAUCACCAAAAUGGGAGUUGUAUCAAACAUCCGAGACUUGGCUAUUUUUUUUGGUUGCGAAGUAGGGAAGUUACCUCUUAAAUAUCUUGGCUUACCUCUUGGGGCUAAAUUCAAGAAUGUGGAGGUAUGGAAUUCGGUGGUGGAAAAUUUUCAAAAGUGUUUGAGUGGGUGGAAACGAAAGAUUUCAUCGAAAGGGGAAAGGUUGAUACUUGCAAAAAGUACACUUGCUAGUCUACCCAUUUACUAUCUUUCACUUUUAACCAUUCCAUCGCAAGUAGCCAACAAGAUUGAGAAGAUCAUUAGGAACUUUCUAUGGGGUUCUAGUGAAGAGAAAAGGAAAAUCCAUCUUGUAGCUUGGGAUCAUGUAUGUACUACUAUGGAUGAGGGUGGACUAGGGCUUUGAAAAAUUAGAGUGAUGAAUAAAGCACUUCUCAUGAAAUGGUUGUGGAGGUAUGGGAAUGAACAUGAUGCUUUAUGGAAGAAGGUUAUAGACGCGAAGUAUGGGAGUAGUGACAAUAGAGGGCGUUCAAGGCGUACCAAUCGAACUCAUGGGUGUAGUUUGUGGAGAAGUAUUCAAGUUUCUCAAGAUGACUUUUUCGAUGGCAUUAGGCAUGUGGUGAAGAGAGGCGACAAGACCCGUUUUUGGCAUGAUACGUGGAUUGGUGAGUCUCCUUUUGUGAGAAGAUUCCAUAAGCUUUACAAGUACGCUUCGUUGAAAGGAGGAGUGGUGAGGGAUCACGUUGAGGAUGGGGGAAGGUGGAACCCACAUUUGAGAAGAACACUUUUUAGGGAAAGCGAACAGGCGCAAAUUGAUAGACUCAUGGAGUUACUAGCUAACAUCUCUCUAGUAGAUGAGAACGAUGAGUGGGAGUGGAAGCAAGACAAAAGUAAAGUUUUUUCGGUUAAGUCUUGUUACGAAUUCUUGAUUAAUAGUUCGGCUCAAGGUUCGGAGGCAAGAAGGGUUUUUCCUUACAAACGCACUUGGGAGCCUAAAAUCCCAACUACCGUCAAGUUCUUCAUGUGGACCUUCCAUUGGAACCGCUUACUCACGGUCGAUCAACUUCAAAGAAGGGGUUUUCAAAUCCCGAACAGGUGCUGCCUAUGUGAAAUGGAGGAGGAAACAAUCCCCCAUUUAUUUUUUAAGUGUGGCUUUACAUUGGCCAUUUGGCAAGAGCUACUGGUAGUCAAACCAGCAGCGCGACAUGCUCUGCAAAGGUGGGAAACUGCAUCUGAAUUACUGGAAAAUUGACAGUCCUUUAAUAGUAGAGACAUUGCUGCAGCAGUUUGGGAUAUUCUACCAUAUGCAGUUCUGUGGAGAGUAUGAAAGACGCGCAAUGAUGUUGUGUUCAACAAUGGGAAAGCAGAAUUUGGCAAGGUAAUUCAGAGCAUUAAAUCGACUGUAUGGGCUUGGUUAAAUAUGUGCAGGAAAUCAAUGGCUCUAAGGAAUGAAAUUAGGUACACUGAUCUGGUAUUUGGUUGGAGAACAGUGAUGACUGAGCAAUGGUGAUAGAAGGCCUGCUGUAGUCUGGUAUGUUCAGGAUUGAAGGUUGUUCCCCAAUAUGCUGCGCCUCUUCUCAGCAUUAAGGCUAAACUAUCGAGUUAUGCAACGAAGUAUGGUCGAAUUCCCAACUUAUGCAACCAACUAAAUUAAGUUUAAAAUAAUCAACAAACUUUUAAGUUUUUGCAAUUUAUGCAAUGCCGUUAACAAUCCUUAACAGAUGUUAGGUUUUGCUGACUGUAUUUUAUUUUUAAAUUUUUUUAUUGCUGACUGUGUAAUAAUUUAUAGUUGACUAUAUAUUUUUUUAUUUAGAUUUUGAGUUCGAUUUGAUGAAUCCAAUAGAUUGAGAAUUAUAAAAUUGAAAAUUAGGGUUUAGAAACCCAAGACUUACCUUCUUUUGAGAUGAACCAAUUUUUUUUUUAUUUUUUAUUUUUUUUUUUGAAAAAAAAAUAUAUUAUUUAAUAUUAAAAUUUAUCCGGUCAGCGAAAAAACUAACGUCUGUUAGAUUUCAUUUGACGGCGUUGCAUAAAUUGGGAAAACAUAAAAGUUUGCUGAUGAUUUUAAACAUAAUUUAGUUUGUUGCAUAAGUUGGGAAUUCGACCCUACUUUGCUGCAUAACUCAACAGUUUAGCCUUACAGGUCUGCAGGUGCAACUUGACAGAUAGGGCCAAGUUCAGAGACAACAAGAGGGACCUUCAGGGGGAGAACACUGCUGAUUUUUGUUAUUUUUAUGGUGUUGCAGUAAGGAAAGGACUAGGGAGAGUCCAAUACUGUAAGGUAUAGUUUGUAAACUGACAAUGCAACUCUGCUGUUGUAGGUUGAUCAGGAGAUGUAACUGUUUUAUCCCAAAGUUAAUAUAUUUUAACUUUAUAAAAAAAAAAAAAAAAAAAGUCCACAACCUAGCUUAAGACUUUUCACAAUAAUGAAAUGGGCUGUUAUUUAAAAUGAUCGGCAAUCCUUCUUGUCUUGGUCUUGUUCUACUUUCCCACCUUUUUAAAAGAAACAUGUUGGACAGUGAUUAAUAACAUCCCCCACCCCUAUUCUAUUUGGAUUGUUUGGCAAGUUGCCACUAUUCCUCUUAACCAUCAAGCUCAAAAGUCUACUAGGAUGAAGAAAUUUAUAUACCAUUUUCACACCUGUACAAGUUUCAUAUUACAGUAUAUCCACAUGACAUGGCUAUAUAUAUAUGUACGUAUAAUCCAAAGUAACAAAAUACAAAAUUGGCUGUAUCAGGGAUCAAUUCUACCCUAGAAUACCAGACAAAUUGUGUAGGAGGAUAAACACUUUAUACAUACGUUCAGAAAACUCCAUUUCAAAACUGAUCCUUAGCUAAAUUUGGAUUCAGACAUUGCAACAAAAUCUGCUAAUAAGGCAAUACAUCUUAUCUAGCUGGAUGACCAAGUGGACUCUAAACUAACAAAAGAAAAAAAAUAAAAAAAUAAAAAUAAUCCACGAGGUAUGCACGACUGUGUUUUAGAUAAGAUGGUAAAGACACCACAUAUCUUGAUAUAUCUUUCAACAAAAAAUCAAAUAAGAUGCAAUUUGAUAAAAAGAAAAAGCCAUGAUAAGUCACGACAAGUUUCAAACAAUUAAAUUAAACGGCACGCAGUUAGAACUAACACAAUGAUCUUUCUGCAAAAUAUUGAUUACUUCCAUAGAAUAUCAUGUGGACGGCAUUGGCCAUUGCUAUCAACCUUUUUAAGAAAAAAAAAAAAAAUCUCAAGCAAACAUCUCGAAGGAAUAAAAUUAAUUUUACACAGUAAUCCUUAAAAUAAAAAUAAAAAUCCAUGAGAUAUCAAUCAAACAUAAAUCUUAAAAUAGUGACAGAUGGCACAACUACAGCUGCCAAAAAAUAAUGGCAUAAUAACAAAGAGAUUUUGGGACAUACCCUUAUUUGAAAGUCGAAAUUUGAAAUACCCCUAACUAAAAAAAAUAUACCCCAUUUCAAGAUGUGGUGUUAAAACAAUCCCAAUGGGAGGGCAAUUUGGUGUCCUCCACGUAGAUGCCACACAAGUAAAACCACCUUCAAAAUCACUCUCUAUUCAAGGUAGUCAAAACCCCCUGCGAAGUGGUGCCAAUGGAAAAAUUUGGAAAUGUCAGUUUAGGAAAAUUAAAUGGCUUAUAAGACGAAACUUUGAGUUCCGGUAAUUUUACUAAAUCUAAGACGGAACUCUGUAUUCUGUUUUUUUUUUUUUUUUAAAGUGUAUAAGACGGAACUCUGUAUUCCGUUGUUUUUUUUUUUAAAUGUAUAAGACGGAACUUCAAAUUCCAUAUGAGAUAAAGUGUAUAAGACGGAACUGUGAGUUUCAAAAAAGUGUUGAACCGAAACACUGUGUUCCGUCUUUGCAAUUAACAUGGCAUUUUGGAUGGCACUCUAUUCCCCUCUCAAAUGUCAUUGAAACUUCUAACAAUAUUUGAAUAUUUGACCCACCAUUCUAUUAGAAAAGAAAUUUUGGGUGAGAAGAUAUUUUAUACUACCACUCUUCUCAAAUGUCCUCCCAUUGGGAUUGCUCUUAUCUUAACCAUCUAUCGUAUCAUAAAAUUAACGUAUGAUUGUAAAUCUCUUCUAUCUUGAAAUGGGUAUCUUAAUUUUUUUUUUCGAAUGGGGCAUCUCAAAUUUCGAUUUCCAAACAGGGGUAUGUCCAAAAAAAAAAAAUCUCUAGAACCAAAGAAAUUUUCAAUAUAAAACAUUGUAGUACUACAUAUUUAAAACUAUGACUUUUAUAUAUGAAAUGAAAUUGGGCAGGCGUGGUGGAUCAUUUCAUCUCAUCGAGGUCAACGGUCAAAUUUUCAUCAUUUUUAAAAAAUUUCUUUCUCGUUUAAAUUAAAUUCAAACUUAUCAUUUAUAUACUCUAUACUAUACUUGUCUUUAAGCUCAAAUGAAAGAUCAAAAUACCUCUUAAACCUUUCUUCUUUCAGCAAACAAAGCUUUUUCUUCAGAGCUAUAAUAACAGAAUGACUCAAAUCUUUGAUUUCGUAUCUCAUCAAAAUUCCGACGGUUUUGAUCGUAUUUCAGAUGAUCUUAUUCUUCUUAUCUUCAAUAAACUCUCUGAUAUCAAAACCCUAACUCGUUGUCGAUCUGUAACAAAACGAUUUAACUCACUUGUUCCACAAGCUGAAAACUUGCUUCUCAAAGUUGAUUGUGUAAUCUCUAGUGAAAAUAGUGAAUGGAUUCUUUUACAUGUUUUCAAAUCACUUCUUCAUUCUUUACAAGAUCUCAUUUCACCUAAACGUUAUACUUCAUCUUCAUCAUCAUCAUCAUCUUCUACUUCAAUUCAACCAAGUUCUCCAUCUGAAAUUCUUCGUGGAUUUGAGAAAAUCAAACGGUUAGAAAUUGAAUUACCUUCUGGAGAUCUACGUUUAGAAAAAGGUACAGUGUUAAGAUGGAAAGCAGAGUUUGGUAAAUCUUUGAAAGGUUGUGUAAUACUUGCUAUUCGUUCAAUUGAAACUAAUGGUGGAGAUUGUAACAAUGAAGAUGAUGUUGAAAUUGAUUUUAAUGGUGAGAAUGGUGGUGGUGGAUUGAAAUUAAGAGUAGUUUGGACAAUUAGUGCGUUAAUUGCAGCAUCAGCAAGACAUUAUUUGUUAAGAGAAGUGAUUAAAGAACAUAAAGAGAUUGAAAGUUUAGUUUUGAAAGAUAGAGAAGGUGAAGGAACAGUUGUAAUGGAUAAACAAGGGUUGACAGAGUUUCGAGAAAGGGGAGAAGAAGAUGAUGCAGCGGCGCAUAUUAGCACUGUUGGAUGGAAGAAUAGAACAACAGUGCCAGCUGUUCGAAUGAGAAUGAGACAUGUGUCAAGACUGGAUUUACCUGGUGGGGUGAGAAUAAGGGGUGCCACAUUGGUUGUAGUUAGACCUACAGAUGGAAAGGACACAAUGAAGAGUGAAAUUGAAGACAGAAUGGAGGAUAGAAAUUCUGCUAUGGGUGUGUUUAGUGGAGUGUUUGGGGAUGUAGUGGGUGCCCUUCUGAAAAAGCCGAGUUACCUCUUGGAGAUGAACUCAUUCUAGUGAAUUCUAGUUCUGGUGCAGUGUUCAUAAUUUGGUGUGCAUUGAAGCAUUUUCACUAGGAGAUUUGCAAAUGCAAGCAGCUGGCAAAUUUGUCAUUUUAUUGUUAAUAUGUAUACAUUUGAAUUUGGUCUACUUCUUGUAAAGGUGUUUGUAAAUGUUGUAAUUUGAGUUAAACUCAGAUACUGUUGUUUAGAAGAUCAUGCAGUACUAUAUUGAUGUUUGGUAUAUGUAUGAUGUAUCUUUGUGAUCUGUGUGAGUAUUCUUUUAUUCUUCAUUGAGCAGCAGUUGAGCUAUAGAUAAUUCAUUUAUUUGGAUUAAUAUUUUUUAACAAAUCUAUUAUUUUAUCCAGUUCUAACUUCUGACAGCCGUUAACAAUUUUAUUUUAAGUUUUUUGUUUACUGUUUUCCACAAUUAAGCAAAUAACAUUAUGUUUGGAACAAAUGGAUUAGGUACUAACUAGUUCUAAAUUAAUAAUAAUAGAAUGCAAAUGCUUAAAAAAUAUGGUAGGUGAGUCAUCUAUGAAUUGGCAAUUUGAAUUAGGUUGUAUGAAACUUCCAAGUCUCCUCCAGUAUUUGAUUAUUUCAGUAGAAGUAAACCUAACUUAGGUAAUUGCACAUUAAAAAGUGAUGGUAGCUGGAGCUGACGAGAGAAAUGGAGAUCAAGGAGCUUAUCUCCUUAAAUUUAAGUCAAAUUUGACAAGGACUAACAUUUAUCUGGAUGUGGUCAUGGGUCCUGGGCAAGGAAGAAGGUCCAUGUCCUAGGUUGGUGUCCUCCAUUGAGGGCACUCGUCUAAGAUAUCUCCAAAUGGAAUAGUUUACGUUCUAAUUUGUUGCGAGGGAAUACACAUUGGCACAUCCCAACUCCCGUCAAACUCUAUUUCCUUUUUCUUUUGGCCGAUGGGCUCGUGACAGCAAUAAGUUUGUCUAUAAUUUUACAAUCCUGCCAAUGAUGCGAAUUGUUAUUUUAAUUCAAAUAUAUGGUAACAAAAAUUGACAAAGCAGCUCAAAGCCUCCAAACCCAAUUAUACAAAAUCCCAAAAUAUGUAUGACCAAAAGUGACUAUCAAAAAAAAAAAAAACUUGCAAAAUAUUUAACAUAACAUGACACUAAAAAAAAAAAAACAAAAAAAAAACCAACGAUACAUAGUGACUGCACAAAGCAUUUGGAUUGAGCUGGCUGACUUUGCAAUUGAUGUAAAAGAUUUAUUGGCAAGAUCCCAGACAGUGGAACAACUCCUACAACAAUGGCCCAAGCACAAUACAAACAGUAUGGGAGCCAAACUCUGGUCUCUCCUCCCGCUAUGCUGUCAUCUGGAACCUGUGGCUGACCAGAAAUGAUUAUAUUUUCAGAAAUUGUGUGCCCACUCUGGAGAAAAUCUGCAUGAACACCAAGGCCACUCUCUGGUUCUGGUUGAGCGGCUCUGCAGUGUAUAAGACUACAACUUUGGUGACUUGCUGCUGCAUUGGGAAAUCCUACUUCUACCUUAGUUGUCAGUCUUUUGUCUUUGUACUGUUUCUCACUUUCACUUUGUGUACUUGUUCAGAGUUGUGAAUGUCUUGGGUGAAGUGGUGAACAGUGAACUUCUCGAUCACUCCGAAGUCUAAACAUUUCUGAAACUCUUGUGACCGACACAACGAUACAUAGUGACCGACACAACGAUACGAUACGUUACGCACAAUUAAAACCGACUUUUAAAAACAACUGCAAUUCUUUAACGAAUUCAUCCCGAUUUCACUCUAAACCCUCGAAACACAGAAAGAGAUGAGUUUAUCGUUAAUACAAAGCUACUCUUCAGCAGAAGAAGACGAAGAAGAAGAGAAGAAACUUCAAUUUUCUUCAAGUGAAGACGAAGAUAACGAAGAAGAAGAAGAACACUCAGAAAAUGAAAAAGAAUCUAUUCGAAAUCGUUCGAGAAUUGAAAACCCCUCAUUCACAAAUCCAUCGAAUGGUGGAUCUAUUCUUCCUUCUGCUCUUGAUGCAUUUUCUGAGGUAACAAUCUUUUGCCCUAAUUUAAACUUCAAAAGUCAAAACCACUUCAUUCCAGAAUUUAUUGAUAAUAAUUUAAUAUGUUUUUUUGGUUUUAUUCAAGGUUGCAGGACCUCCAGAGUUUCUCAAUAAUUGUGUUUCUGAGCCUGUUUUAGCUCAAGAUGUUGAACAUAGAGGAAGACGUGGUGGUAGACAUAGAAUUCCAAGAGACAAGAAAGAUUUACCAGCUGGUAAAUUAUUCAGAAACCCUCUCUUUAAUUUGAAUAUUAUUGUUUAAAUUCAUGUAAUCAAAAGCAACAUUGCACUUUUCAUAGGUUUUUCAUUUUUGCAAGCCAAUUGUGUGUUAAUGUUAUUGUCACCAGAUAUACAGUAUGAAUAAAAGAAGGAUUGAAAAGAUAUAUGAAACAACUGACGUUUUCUUUGAAUUGUGUGUCAAUCAUUCAUUGGAGUUCUUUAUAUUACUGAAAUUGAAACAAUGAAAAAUGUCCUAAUUGAUGAAUUAAAAGAAAUUCAGAAUUUAUCUUGAUAUGAACUGGAGCCUUUUGAGUGAGCUCAAUUUCGCUCUAAUGUUACUUGAAGAGUGAACUGGGGUAUCACUGUUAAUACUUAAUAUGAGAUAUCGAUUCACAUGGGUUCCAUGAAGUCAUACCCUUUUGUUUUGUUUUUCCCACAAAGGUUUUUCCAGCUGAGCUCAGCUUGCACCUGCAAAGAGUCGGACCAUAUAUGUCCUUCCAAUGAAAAAAAAAAUUGGAUCUCUUAUGUCACUCUAUUAAGCCUUGUGUGUGUGUGCGCGCACGUGCGUGAGUUAAGUAUCUCUGUCUGAUAGAAAAAAGGAAGACGAAUAGAUAAAGAGAAAUGGUAGUUCAUCAGAUAUAAGAGUGAUUCACUGGUAUCUUUGAUCAUACAAAUUAAAGGAACACUAUGCUACUGGAUUGAUGAUCUAAGAGAUAGCAAAGACUAUGUGUUUCAGGGUCUCAUUGCUAACUGGGAUGAGCUACUUAUUAGCUAAAGCUCAGUUUUUGUUGUUUACUUUCUGUUGCUGCACUAAGGCCUGGGUGAAGCACUUCUUCACCCAAGUUUUUGUACUCUUUUCUUUCAUAUCAAUAAUAAUUAUAUUUAUAAAAAUAACAAUAACCAUAAAUUCAUAAUCAUGAGGCUGCCUUGAUGUUACAAACUGUAGCCUGUACAUUGAUGGUUCUCUUAAUUCCACAAAUGUUGACUGACUUGAUGUAUUGAGUCAUUAAGUUAGAUGUUUAUUUCGUCGUGUAAUUAACCAGGAGUAGAAGAGUGAGUCUUUUGAAGUAUGAACAUCAAGGUGUUUACUUGUGAAUGAAACUAAUUUGUGAUCAGUGGGCCAAGGCACUUCUAAUUAUCCCACAAGUGAAUUUAAGCCUGAGUUUUUUAUUCUUCUAUCUCAUGCAAGCCCUAAAAUUCUGGAGCAUGAUUGUGACCAUGCGAAUUUAAUGAUCCAGAUAACAGAUGUGACACGGUCCAUGAGUCGACUUGAUUAUAGAUGUUAUUUUAUUUUAGAGAUUUUUGGACAUACCCCCCCAUUUGAAAGUCGAAAUUUGAGAUACCCCCCCAUUUGAAAGUCGAAAUUUGAGAUACCCCCCAUUUGAAAUUUUUUUUGAGAUACCCCCCAUUUCAAGACAGAAGAGCUUUACAGCCGUAGGUGAGUUUUAUGAUGGACGGCUAAGAUAACACCACAUCUUGAAUUGGGGGGGUAUCUCAAAUUUUUUUUCAAAUGGGGGGUAUCUCAAAUUUCGACUUUCAAAUGGGGGGUAUCUCAAAUUUCGACUUUCAAAUGGGGGGGUAUGUCCAAAAAUCUCUUUAUUUUAUUUUGGAGUCUAAUGUUGAUGUAAAGGUCCGCGUUAUGCACAUUGGUUUUGAUAUAAGUGGUUCCAGAAUUUCUUACUGCAGUUUCAAUGAAAUAAUUGCUUCAGGUGUUGUUGUGGAGGCCAAAGCGCAACUGGUUGGAAUCCGAGAGCGAGUAAGAAGUGAUGUUGAUGGAAACUGCCCUCCCGUACCAUCAGUUUCAUCUCAAAAAGGAUCAAUAAAUACAGGACCUGGAGAAGGCAAGCGUGUGGUUUCUGCAGCCAAUCCUGACGCUAAAGACGCUGCAGAGCUUCUGAGGUACUUGUGAUUCUUCAAAAUACAUCUGUAUUGAUGCUCAUUUUUACGAUAUAAUGCUUGUGUUAAAUUUUAACUUUCAAAGUUAGAUUAUGAUCUCUGUGUACAGUCCCAUGUUUUCUAAAAUCUCAUUAGGGUGGAUAGUGUGAGUGAUCCAAGGCAAGAUUCUUUUUAACUGGUUGCUGCUUCCUUUUAGGUUCCUUUAUGAUUUAUUUUAGUACGGGAUUUUCCUUCAAAGAAAGUUUAUGGAAAUUAUUUUCCUUAAAAUGAAAAUAUUAAUUGUUUUGAAGAUUCUUAUUACGCUUCUAGCAAUGUAUGUAUUUUGUAGAUAUUUUAGUGAUUUUGACAAAUGUUACAUUGAAAGUUUUUUAGGAUCUUAAUUUUGAACAAAAUAGUAAGCAAUAAUCGCGAGAAAACUUUAAAGUAGGCAUGUCCAAUCAGCUUUAGCAGGGUUGGUUCAAAACCAUCUUCUUCGUAUAUUGAAGCUUUUCAGAAUCGAUAUUUGUUGGCAUCAGUUAUUAUUAGUUUGUUUUGUGGUCCAAAACUUGUAGAGUCUGAAAUGAAAAGGAAUAUGUUGCAGGAUGUGUCUGCAGUGUGGAAUACCGAAGACCUUUUCAAAUGCACGGGGAAUGGUCUGUCCUGUAUGUGGAGAUCGUCCUCCAACAGAUCCAGAUAAAGAAUCUGAUAAGAAGAAGGGAUCCACCAUUAAAGACAAAGAGAAGAGUAAGAGGAUGAAGGGACAAUCAUCUCAUGCUUCUUGGAAGAGUGAAACAGAGAUGCAACUUCGGCAGCAAUUUGAUUAGUAGAAACAAAUGCAAAUGGUUUUAAACUUUGUGCCACAGAGGUGCGUAUCAUAUUGAUUUGACAUUGGCAGUGCAUUUUGUCUGUAACAUUGCAUAUGAUCAGGUAGUGUUAACUGUUAAGCACCUGUUACUAUCUCAUGUGCAGCUCCUUAAGGCUGGAAAUGAAUCUUUGUGAGAAACCUUACUCAGGUUGUAAACUGAUAGAAAACUUGACAUGUUUAAAUUCCUGGCGACCCUUUUUGGUUUCUCACUGAUCUACAACAGUUUGACCCUAGGCAAGGAAUGCAUACUAUAAUCGAUAUGAACUUAAUGAAAUUUGUAUCUAUUAAUAUGAAGCUGCAAAAUGAUUUGGUUUUGGUUGAGGACGACUCUGUGUUUAUCGGCUGGGAGUUUGGACUUUUGUUUGUUUAUGUAUCGCCACUUGUUGCAGGAAUCCUAUUGUUUUAUUUAUUUAUUUUUUAUUAUUGGCAAGCCUGUUUUUAACAAGAUCAGUAACUCAUAGAUGCACUGCCUUAAACUAAAGGAAUCCUAAUGUUUGUUCUUUGUGCAAGUUUUGUGGGCUUUAAAAGUCAAUUCAAGUUUUCAACAUGUCUUCAGCAGCUUGAUUUGCUUGCUCUAAACUUUAAUCAGAAAGUUUGACCUUUUACUGCAUGUUGGAAAAAUUGUGCCUAGACUCUAGAUCUUUCUAUUUUCUUUUUUGAUAAAAUGAGAAGUUUUAUUCAAUCUCAUCAAUUAAAGAAUACAGGCCUGAUCAGCAUGAUCCAACACUGUCAGGUUAAAAACAAAUAUCCCCAAAACAGACAACAGGUGAAAGUAAGAAAGAGAAUAAGAACAGCAGGAGGUGACUCCCCUGAAACCAGUCUUCUUCCUCUAGAACAGCAGGAGGUGACUCCCCUGAAAGUCAGUCUGCAACUCUUUUUUGCCCCCAACAAGUCUGGAAUUCUGUCAGUGUACCUGUAGUUGCUGAAGUGAGACCUGUUGCUAGUGAGAACACCUGAACCACCCUCAUUUUCAGCUUACACUCUUUGUCAGACCCCCUGAAAAUGCUUAACAUCAACUGCAAGAGAGUUACUAACUCAGAUUUCUGCCACUGUCCCUUCCCAGUCCAGCAAUAGCAUAAAAAGUGUUUGGAGAUUGAAAGGGUAAGUUCCCAAAAUUUCUUGAGAAUUCAUAGCACCAAUUGGUUGCACCUUGAUUAUAAAUAAAGUUGCAGGUGAUUAUUAAAAAAAUAAAAAACAAACCAACCUUUUAUAUGAAAGUAUGAAUCCUUGAUUUUGAGAGAGAGAGCCUUAACUUUCAGGGCUUUAUAGUUUAGUUCCAGACUGGACUUCUCUCGGCCCAUUUGAUAUUUUUUAUGAUUGAUUCCAAACAUACUUACAUUCUGACUGACGGUUGAGAUAUAAGAACAUCAAACUAAUCUGUCCACACAUGUAUACUCUAAAAAAUACCCAUUUAUUUCACACCUACGCACAUUUCUAGAAAUUUUCUUCUAUACACUAAAGGGCUAUAAAAACCUUUCAGAUCUCAUCAUCACAGCAAAAAUACUCACACACAUUUGCUACUCACCACAAACAGAUUAGAAAAGAUGGGUUUUAGAGUCAACCAUCUAUUCUUCUUCUUCCUUCUCUCUCUUAUCUCUUUCUCUAUGAUCGUUCAAUCAUCUGUAAGUAAUACUAACUAGUAACUAGUAUUAAACAUUAAUCAUUCUCAUCUUAUUCAAAAUCCCAUUUUUCUAAUUUUUUUUGUAUAAAUUAUGUAGGAUGAUUGUGUGUACACAGUGUACAUAAGGACUGGAUCGAUCUUUAAAGCUGGAACAGAUUCAAUCAUGAGCUUAACACUAUUCGAUUCAUAUGGAAAAUCUAUUGCAAUUCCAAAUCUCGAGACAUGGGGUGGGCUUAUGGGACCUGGUUACAAUUACUUUGAGAGAGGUAAUUUGGAUAUUUUUAGUGGAAGAGGUAAAUGUUUAGAUACACCAGUAUGUGCAAUUAACAUUACAUCUGAUGGAACGGGUCCUCACCAUGGGUGGUACUGUAACUAUAUUGAAGUUACUUCAACGGGUGCCCAUAUACCUUGUGCUCAGCAAUUGUUCACUAUUGAGCAAUGGAUAGCUACUGAUCAUUCACCUUAUGAACUUACUGCUAUUAGAAAUCUUUGCGCUGAACUCGAUUCCAAACCUAAAUCCCAUGUCCAAUUUAUGUAGAAGAGGCUAGGUAUACUGCAUUUUGUUUUCAUUAUGUUGUAUGAGAAACUAUAUCUGUAUUUGGUUCCGGUGAAUAAUAUUAUUACUAGUUCUAUAGUUUUUUCUAUGCGAAAUUAAUUGAUUUUGCCAUAUUACUAGUUCCAUAAUAAGAAAUGUGUAUCACAUUUAGGACUUAAUGGGGGUAGGAAUCGGUUGUUUAAGUUCAAUUAUGGUAUGAGGACUUGAGUGAGCUGUAUGGAAAACUUUGUUUUCAUAUCAAUGCAGUUGAAUGAGUCAUUGAGACUUGAGAGAUGGGAUAAGUUGGGUCUGGUUACAUAACCUAGUGGUGUAUACAAUAUGACAUGUGUUUCGUUAAUGUCCAUUUUGUUGUUGUAUAUUUAUGGGUAUUUUCAUAAAUGUCAAAUAUGUAAUGAGUAUGUACUAUAUAAUAAAGGCUUUGCCGACAAUCCCGACAUGGUCAUUGUGAAUUAGGUGGACUGAUGUGUUAGGAGGUUUUGGAAGCAUUGGUUGUCUUCGCUCACUUGCCAUAGUUUGCUCCUUUGCCCAAGAUGUACGUGUAAAUGUAAUCAGUAAAUGUAUGUUUAGACUUCUAUGAAAGUACUGGAUUGACAGAUUGUUUUAGUAAAAUUUAAUUAUCUGAAGUUUCACCCAAAAUAUUUUAACAAUACAAAGGUACUUAAGAAGAGUUCGAACUCUUCAAAAUGAAAUUAUCUAGACAAGACUUACAAGAUGUGUCAUGCACUCAUGCAUCCAAAAUGAAGAGUUCAAAUGAGAAUUUCAUGAAUGUUGUUCGCCUAAAAUUCUCAACAAAACCUAUUUCUCAGUAGUUCAUCUCAAGCAUGUUCUUGUCUGAACUCUGAACCUAGAGCUAGGAAGUAGGAAUCCAAAGAGAAAAGCAAGAAUGACCCUGAACUCUGCAACGUGAAAUGCAGCAUUAAAGCUGAAAAUGUCACUCCAGGCCUUCUGAUCAGUAACAAAACUACUGUACAAAGAAAUCUCAGAUCAGAAUGAAACUCCAGGCCUAUGAUUUAAGAAUCAAUACAAAAAUCAUUACAGAACAUCCAAUUAACAGUUUAUUUCUUGUUUAUUGAACUGUUAGAUCUAAUCUAAUAUGUAUAUCUUGGCGAUAGAACCAUUUUAAUUUAAUAGAGUUCUUGUCAUAUAGGUACUAACCUAUACCAAUAGUAAAUGAAAAUAAUAUUUCUGGCAAUGGUUUGGACUUGUGGUUGUGGGGAUUUCAUUUUGAUUUGAGGUUCAUGUUCAUCAUAUUUUUACAAUUUGAUACCUUGAUUUGAUGAUUGAAUAAGUGAUAUAUCGCGAUACGAUACGAUCAUGAUAGUAUAAACUGUAUUUGGCCAUUUGAGUUCUAGCAUCUUUUCUCAAUAUAAUAUAAUUAAUAUCUUACUGUGUGGUGCUUCUUCUUUAUCCAACAUUAUGAUUAAUUUGUUUUAUCUACUUUAAUUUUUGAAAAUAAAGCAUAGUCAUGAUCAUGAAACAUAAUUGUGGACUAAUAACCAUACUUUAGGUUAUUAUAUAGUUUAAUCUCAAUUCACUUCAGCCUGCAAGAGCAAAGAGAAAGCUGGAGACAGAACAAGGCUUUCUCUACAUCGGCAUGUGGCAGGAUUCCAUAGGCAAAAACAAAGGUGAAGAAAAAGAACCCAGAGUGAAAUACUGAAAUAGAAAGUAAAACGGAAAGGAAGCCCUUUAUUUCAAAAACAUUUCAAAACCCUAAACCAUUUUAGACUGAAAAAGCUAAAGGAAGUAGUGUAGGUGAUAUGAAGAACACAAUGAAAGCAAGAGAAGGCAAAAAAGCUCAUCCAGCAAAUUUUCAUGUAUGUUUUCCAUCUAAUCCUAAUCUAACACUUACUCCUAAGCCAUUUUGUAGCCCGGCACGGCCCACAGACACUGCAAUGCGCCAUCACCACCAUGGCCAUCACCAAUACCAUCACCCUUUAACCAGGUGUAACAACAGAGCUGGACAAGCCAGUCCUUCUUUAUGGCCUAAAACCAGGCCCAACAGCUUAGAGAUCACAGAACCUUCAUCACCAAAAGUAACCUGUGCUGGCCAGAUCAAGAUCAGGCCUAAGAAGAAGUCAAGCAAGAAGUGGCAAUCUGUGAUGGAGGAGAUUGAGAUAGUACACAACAACAAAAAUGACAACAAGAGUUCCAUAAAGAUUGAAAGCAGAUUUGGUUUAAAGAAAGAUAAGAGACACUUUUUAAAUAGUUUACGUUGUUUUGGUACAGUUAAGGAGUCUGAAUCUGAUGUCAUUACCUCAAUUGAUGAUGAAGAAGUGCAAGAACCACAAGUGAGGAGUAUAGAGGAUACAGUAAGUGGUUCUUCAAAAGCUGUUGUUUCAAAGUGGUUCAUGGUUUUGCAAGACGAUACUAACAAGAUUAGGGUGGCUAACGAAGAAGAAGAAAGAGUAGGGAGAGAUGGAUCUAGUGAUGAAUAUGGAUGCGAAUCUGUUGUUCCUCCUUCAGAUGCUCUUUUGUUAAUGCGUAGUAGAUCUGCGCCUACAAAGAAUUUCUUAGUGGACAAAGAAGAAGAAGAACAAGAAGAUAAGACAGGCAGCUUAAUCUUGAAGUGCUAUGGUCCUGCAGAUUUCUUGGAGGUAAAGUCUGAUCUUCCAAAUGAGAAUUGGCUUGUCAGUGGGAUGAAAGAUCCUUUGUCAAGGAGUAGACGUUGGAGAAGAUGCUAAGCAUGAUCAGCAUACAAUGCAUAAUAUAAUUAUGACAAUUUUAGAUGUUGAGACAAAAUUUCUUUUUUUUUUUUUUUUUCCUUUGAUUAUUAAUUUAUCAAUAGCGAGAUUAUAAUUUUCCUAGAAUUUUUUCUUCCUAACAUAAUGACUUUUUUGUGCACUAGGCUAAAAGAGUAUUUAGAGCAUGCAUCUUUCCAGGCCUUCUGUCUCCUUUUAUUGUUUGUGUAUCUGCAAUAUGUAUGUGUGUAGCUAUUUCAGACAUUCUCAUGAAGGUUUACUUCUCUUCCAAGACAAAUAUAAUCCCAUACAACUUUACAUCUGCAACCCUCUCACUGUGCACUUUGAGGCUCUUCUGCCUUCUGAACUUGUGUGUUCUCACUGGGCUUUGGUUCGCGACACUCGUGUCAUCGUGUGGACAAAUACAUGGUGGUUGGGAUAGAUUCACCAAUUCGUUGCCAGUUGCUCACUCUGGGUGGUUUGGAAAAUAAAACUUCUACUUCUUGUUGGAAGUUGUUUCGUUGUUCUUGGAUGGAAAGAGGAGUACCAAGGCUUGCACAUACGGUACUGUCACAAGUACUCUACUUGGGAAUGAGCUGCAUUGGGUUACAAUAGACACUUUUCCAUUGAGUAAAGGGGAUUGCUAUUACAUAUAUCGAAUAAAUAUUGAGACACUGCAAUUUAGAACGUACGACAAAGGUUCCACUACUCGUCCUCAAACCACACAACAUCUUUCAGUUAAAAUUCAAAAAAGUACUCCCCGUCUUAUUGAAGGUGAAAAAAGUAUCAUUGUGCCUCAUAAUUAUUUCCCCUUCCCCCCAUCAACUACAGAUGUUUGUUUUGGUGGACGAGUGCAAUUGGGAAAAUUUUCAUAAUCGCUCUUCACUCCUUGUUGAACCUACCUUCUUUAAAUAAUGGUUUAUUGUCGGACAAUACAUGCCUUAUUGCAAGGAGAGAGGUUGAUAGUACCUGCGACGUAUUCAACCUCCUGAAAAUUCCCGUGCAUCAUUAAGGUCAGUUGUGCUUAUAUGACUUGAUCAAGAGCUAGGAUUUGAGACCAAUCGGGUUUCUAAGGAAGGACCAGAUGCUGUGCCGAACAUAUUUAUAUCAUUUCAACAGCCUCAUCAGGUGGGAUUGAGAAUGUUAUUGCAUCAUAGAGCUAUAUAAGAACAUUUUGUACCUAGAAGAUUCUGCCAGUAGUUAAGGUCAUCUUGUAUAAGAAAUUUUGGAUACUUAAAUUUCUUCUGUUAAUUAGUUGGAUGUGACCUUUUGAUAUUAUUUAUACAUAUUUCAUGCAUAGUUCAUGCUAUGUGAAGUGAUUUCCAGCACCUAUGUACAGUAUGUGAUUUUGUGUGAAACUGUGAAGUGUGAACCAUAAUAGUUGUCCCACAUCGGAACAGUAUGAAUGUAGGCCUUUUCAGGUAUGGUAUCACCAAGAAGGCCCAGUUUUACUUGGGCUCAAUGAUAGACUUUAAGGCCCGUUUGAACUUUUGGGCUUUACUCUACUUAAAUACCAUUUUGCUUUGGAAAAAUGGUAUGGAAAAUUUAAACCCUCCAACUUGACCAAUUCUGGUGGUCAUUUGUGAACUUUCUGGCUGCUGAAAACUAACAACAGCCACAGCAUGAGAGCAAUAGUAUCAUGAACUGAUGAAGUCAUCUGCUUGAAUAUCCUAUUGAGUGUUGCUCUCUGUCAUUAUUUAAUCUAAUCAUCUGUCAUGAUUGACCUUGCUUAAUUAAGAUCAUUUUAAUCAAACCGACCUUGCAUUCAUCAUCAUUAGUUAGUAAGCCUUAUUCCUACCAACUCCACUGUCGUCAAUCGAAACAAAAUAACACAAAAAAAAUUUGGCCAGUGUAUCAUAUUUUAGGAUUCAUAUCCCUCAUGUCAAACAAUAAAUAAAACACAAUACAAAAUUAUAUCACGCACUUCACUCUGAUGAUUUGUCAAAUACUAUACUAUAGACUUGAGGGCAUUUUACAUAUUUUUAUUCUCGUAGAAUCGGUUCUUCCGGCCGUGGAAUAAAAUUGAAAUCUUUAACCCUCAGUGAAACAUUACUAUCAGGCUUUAAGAAACUUAAGCUCAGUUCCUUGACUGAUUCGAUCAAUGACUUUUGAUAUGAUAGUUUAAACUGCGACCUAAACAAGAAAAGGGUAGCUUAAUUGUCAUUUUCUGAAAACAUAAACUUCUCAGAUUAAUCAAACCUUUUUCGAUUCCAUCUACUUAUAACUCAUUGCUUUGAGAAAACUUUUCUUCAUCAGUUGGCAGAGUAAUCAAUGGGUGAAGGUUGAUCAAGCUCGUUGCAAACAUUCGCCACUUGUUCUACCAUGAUAUGUAGUAAUUUUUUUUUUUUUUUUUUUUUUUUUUUUUAAAUUCAAAUUUUAUUGAUAAGCUCAACGAAUUAUACAAAAGUAGAGGACAAACGCACUACAAACUGCGCGACAAGUCCUUUCUUAUUAGAAGUCGAAACACGUACUCAAAUUCUAAUGCAGUUCUCUAUACCAAUGGAUCUUAAAAAUUCUGGAAAAUGGGGAGAUGAAGAAGAAUAUUUAUAUAAGAUCAUCUAUAUACUGUGUCAUGUUGCUUAUCAAUAAAGACAGACUGACAGACUUAUAUAGGACAAGUAGUGUACAUUGGAGUUCUUGGUUCAUUUCAUGAUAAGGAAGUAAGGAACGGUAUUCCGUUUAUCCCUCCACAUGUACGUAUUGGGUAGGUGACGUCACAAAGUGCCGGAAACUGAUAUCACCCACGUCAGCACCGAAUUUCAUGUUCGUAAUGUUGUGUUCGUCUCGCUGUGUUUUUAACUGGACUUGGGCCUCCAAUAAAGCCGGGCCCAAAGUUUUAUCUUCUGGACUUUCCCUUGUCAGUAUCUCGUAGUCUUGUAUUGAAGCUUCCCAUCUUUCCAUCUAAUAUACACAAUCAAGGUAAAAUCAUUAUCAAUUACAAAUUUAAUUAAUAAGUAAAUCGAGUUUUUCGAAAUGUUAGUUUUAUUGUUUAGGUUGAUUAAUUUAUCUGAAUGCAAUAUGCAUUCGAUUCCAAAUUAUAAUAUCAAUUUUUUGGCGAUUUUUGUGAACCAAUGGAAAUGACUAAAGAUGUCCUAAAGAAAGCAAUUAGUCACCUUGGCAUUACAUUCAGCUCUCCUUAGUCUAGCUUUGCUGUAAGACGGGCGUAAAUGAAGGACACCAGUACAAUCUUCCAUAGCUUUCUCAUAUUGACCCAGUUUAAAUCUACAUGUUGCUCGGUUACAUAGCAACACUGAGUUAAAUGGUUCAUGCUCAAGUCCUUCACUAUAUGCCACACUUGCCUGUGUAAACUUGGAAGCGUUAAAGAGCUUAUUGCCAGCCGAUCGAGCAGAUGACACAGCUCGAAUUAUUCUCACUGCAGAACUUACUUCCUUGUUGCUUGAGUCGAGUCUAAGUGCUUGUUGAGCUGCCACCACUCCCUCAUCAAACCUGUCAGAACAUUUUUCAGUGUCCAAAAACACAACAUGUCAACAUCUUUGUGUUGGUAAAAAUUUGUUGAGUAAAAGUGAUUAUUCUUCAUUAUUCAGAAAAAAGAUAAAUUUUAGAUAUCUAUAGGAUCUUUGAUUAUUACAUGUUUGAAGAUCCUAUAUUCUUUGACUAAUUCAUUAUUCUUAGUCGCUUAGUUAUAAUUUUAAUUACUUUCUCGCUUAAUUAUAAAAUUAAUCACAUUUCAAUUUUUAUAAUGUAGUGGCGAUUGUGUCAUUGGUGACUAUCUAAACACUAUUCUUAAUAGUUAAUACUAACCUGCCGGCAGCCAUAUCAACCUGUGCCUGUAUCAAUAGUAGUUGAGCAUUUCUAGUGGGACCAAAGAAUUUUGUACAAUCAUUGAUGUCCAAAGUCGGUUUUUUCUUUAAUGCACUGUCAGCAUCUUGAUGCCGAUGAAGUUUCAAUAGAGCUUCAGCUUGCAAUGAAAUGAUCUGAGUUUUACAGAAGCAAAGAAUUUCAAUUGGUACUAGCACACAAUUUCAGAUACGUGAGGACUUAAUAAGAGUUGCUAAUUCACCUGUGGAGCAGAAUCUGCACCCAAUGAUAUUGCACACUCAGUUUCUUUUAACAUUGUGUUCCAGUCUCUUAGCUUUUUUGCCUCAAUGCAAUUGCUGAUAUGGGUUUGAAGAACUUGAGCUUUCGAAAUCUCAGAAGAUUUGACUUGGAAUAUUCCUGAUUGUUUGAAGUGAGAUAAGGCGUUCUCGGCUUCACCUAAUCUGAUACAGAAUUAUGAAACAUGCACAAGGACUAUAAUUCUUGCCUUCUUGGUUUAUUUUGGGAGCUAGAUAUGUUAUAGGUAGAUGAACAGAAGUAUAUGCAAUACCUGAUAUACAAUGUUGCUAAGCGAUGAUGAGCUCUUCGAUAAAAAGGAUCAAUCCGAAUGGCUUCUCUGCAUUCAAACACUGCUUCAAGUAACCUACCUAGACCUAUUAAUGCUGCACUCUUGUUGCUUCUAUAGGAUGCAUUAUCAUUGUUGAGAGAUAUAGCUCGAUCAUACAAAGUCAAGGCCACCGCAAAUCUUCCCUUCUUGUACUCCACAUUGCCCAUCACCUUCAAUGCAUCAGGAUCUAGUUUAUAUAGAUUUCUGCUCACUAUGUUGCCCAUUACACUAGUAUUAAUACUUAUACUUUUGACACCAUGAACUAUACUAGAAUUUGAAUUCUCUACUGCAUGUUGCCUUCUGCUUCCUAAUUGACUGUAAGGCAUGAUAUUGCCAGAAGAUGUUUUAAGAAGAGCAUUAUGCUCUUUUGAUCGGUCAAUUACCACGCUGUCAAACUCCUCAGAAAUACUACCUCCUCUGGAUAGCCUCCUUUGAAUCAGGCCUGCUGGGGUUGACGUGACCUUUGAAUUUGUGUUGGAACCAUUUGACGACGAAGAAGAAGUACUAGUAGUAAUAGUUCCAUUCGAAGGUUUUCGUUGAUGGGGGGUCAUGGUUUUGGAAUAAUUAACCAAAGUACUCUUUGCAAUGGGCUUCUCUAAGAGCUUUGAAGGAUGCUCAGGUGAAUUGGAGGUGACAUCAAGCAAGGCAGCCACUUCAGAACCACCUCUCCUAAGCUUUAAAUUGGCUAUGCAGCCGGUAAUCUUGUGGAGGGGGAUUGAGCUUGUUGAGACUGUUCUUCUAGGCCGGAUUCCACGUCGACCAAAAACUCCAUUGUAUAAGACUUGAAUACCACAACCUGAUGACUUCUUUUGAGGUGUAACUAUUUUGGUAUCCAUGGUGGUUCUCUCUUUUCUCUUCCUUCUUUCUGUUGGAAGAACUACAGCACUGGUGCUUUAAACUAGAAAAAGAAGAGCAUGGGAAUAAUAAGCAGAAAUGGUCUUUGAGUUUUAAAUACCAUUCGAGAUUUUGGAAUCAAGGUGAGAACUACAAGUCGAAAACAAGAAAACUAUAUUUAAGCUAAGUAGCUAGAAAUGAAAAAAAAAAAAAAAAAAGAGUUGAGAUUGCUUGAAUUAGAAGAUGUGUAUGUAGCGCAUGUAUCCAGGCCAACCACAGAAGGAUGUGUUUAUUUUUUAUCUCACAAAACUCCUGGAGUGGCUACCAAGAAACCAAACUCCCUUUCUUUCUCUCUUUGAGGACUUUGAUUAGUCUUCUUUAUUCUUGACUUCAAUGAGACGAGAUAAGGAACAGAAAGAAAAAAGUUCAAAGAUUAAAAAAAUUAAAAUGAGGGAAAACAAAGACAGUGUGGGGGCACUGAGACAAUUCUAGAGAAAUGUUUUAUGAUUUACCCCUUCCAAUUGCUGCAUGUAUACAACUCACAUGUCAUGUAUCACACCAAAUGCUGCAUGAAAUGUCUCAAUGACUAGCAAUAAGCAGAUCGUCGCAUGGUGCAACUCUUUAGCAGAGCACCAUUGCAACAGUCUUUAUAUCAGUUUGGUUCCUUUGCCACAUUAUGAAUGUGGUGGUGGGGAGGUUUGGGGAGGAAAGGGAGGAAAAACAGAUAUCAGGUGUGGGGUAAAAGGAAUUUUAUUUUUGGAACUAUAGAGUAUUUUAGAAUAUAAGAAAUCUACAAAGGGAGACAUCUCAAACUCAUCACUACAUGAUGAUGCCUCAUUUGAGGGUUGGUAGUGCACUUAGUUGUGAAGUUGAUUUGUUUAAUUAGAAGAUGUGGUGAGAGGCUGAGAGCUAGUCACGUAUGAUUUCGAUCACCCUGCACGUAAUUGACUUCCAGCUCUAUAAUGCCCUUUACACUAUUUCUCUUACUUCUCAUCCAUGUUCACUUUGUGGCUUUUUUUUUUUUUUUUUUCUUUUCUGUUUUGAUUUUCUCAUCAAUUAGAAAAUCGAAAUCUGUUACUUAAGUCAGCAUUGCCAAUCAUUUAUAUAAAAUAAAUCUAAUCAUUUCUAAGAUGUUAUAUGGUAAAUACGAUCAUAUCAACUAUUUGUUUGACAUAGACCUUUAGAAUAUUUGAUUGACCAAGAAGAGAAUGUGUACACAUGCGAUUCCUUGGGAGAGAGCCAAACAUUCUAUUGAUUCGUUUUUGUAUUAGAGGUAAUUAAUGUGUUAUUCUUAUUUUACAGGUAAUUGUUCUCAUUUUGUUCUAGUGUUGGAUAAGAUAAAGAUGUUGAGUGAAAUGUGAAUUUUGUAAAGCUACUUUAAUAUGAAGCAUAUAACAAAUCUUACACCAAAAUGAGUUUGUUUUAUAAUUGAAAUAGAUUGUUGAUCCAAAAAAAUCUGGUUUUGUGUGAUAAAUUGGCAACUACGCACUAAAAUAAUGGAAACCAAGAAAUUUAGCUGAUAUAAUUCUAAUUGGUAAAGAAGGAUGAAGUAGUAAGCAAAGUGAACCCUCUAUUAGCUAGAAAAAGAGAGAAAAUUCACUACAUGAAUAUAGAGCCCUCAAGAAAAAUCAAUCCAGGCUAAAAGCCUAAAGAGGAGUCAAAAUCAUGUGUGUGUUAAAAGGAGGUAAAGCUUAUUCUGAUCACUUUAAUCCAACAAUACUUGUUAGCAAUUUGAACACAUUACAAAAGAAAAACGUUUGUGCAUAUUACGGAAGCAUUCAUAAAUCUUAACAGGCAAGAUCGAAAAGGGAAGUGAUACGCAACGAGGGCAAUAAGAGUAGCUUGUGCCUUUUUACAUGAAGUGGCACAUUCCUCACAUGAUCCUAACUCCCAAGACUUGAAAUUCACUCCACUUUUCAAAGCAGCAAGUAGGUAGGUAGUUCGGGAAGCCAUGUUCAAUACAAUACCUUAUGCUCCAAGCUUCUCUUUUAUAUUGGACAAUGCUAACAUCACAUUCACACAUUGCUACAGUAUUGCACUUGUUAUGAAGCCACUAAAUGAUCUUAACUGAUACAUUAGAGGAUAUUUAGGGAUGAGCAAAGUAUUCUUUACAUUAUGAUUGGUCCAUGAAAGUCGCACAUCCCAAUAUCUAUUUGAAUGUAGUAUAUGAUUAUACUUCCUAUAAGCUUAAAACAUACUAUCAAAUAACACAAUCCUUACAACAACAAAAAAAAAAUAACACAAUCCUGAAAAUUGGUCAUUAUAGACAUCAAAAUGUAAUACAAAAACAAGAUGGUCUUCCAUUUGGCUUGUCAGACCAAAAAAUGUGUUUGAAUGAAAAGCUCACGUGACUGAGACUCAGUGAGCACUAAACUAAGAAUUUUUGCUUCCAGGUGGAAGGAAAAAGCUGUGACGUUAGUUCAUUCCACUGUCUACAAUCUCUUCCGUCUUAUGACCUAUCCUGAAAAUCCCUCUACUAAUGAUUUGAGUUAGAUACACCAGUACAUUAAAUCUCAAUCCAAAUACAUACAUAAGAUAUCCAGUUCAGAAGAUAUACACCAUACAUACAUAGACGUUGUCGUAUAAUCAGCUCCAGUAUAGAUGAAGAUUCAGGAUAUUCAAAGCGAGAAAUCAUGUCAUAUAUUUUAUAAUGACUGAUCUGAAUAUAAAAAAUUGUCUUCAAGUGAGACGGUUGGGACUUGGAUCCAUAUAUUCUUCUUCCUCUUGUAUAAAUAAAAUUAUAAGAGAAGUAAAACGAUAAAUGGAAACAGGUAUAAUAACACGUUUUUUGUUUCUUGCAAUUAAUUGGGAAUGCUGUGGCCAUCAUAUAGUAGUCAAUAACAGUCCAGGGAAUGACAAAAAAGCGAAAACAUGAAGAGAUGACAAGAGACUUCAACUUAUAGGGGUAGCAAAUAUUUACCCGAAAUUAAAAAUAUCCGAAGGGGAGUUAAAUUUAGUUCAAGAAGAAAGACUGCAGCACUAAAUUUCUUCAUAAAAAAAUUAAUAGCAACCAUUUCCUAAGCAAUGGAAACAACUUUAGGUUUCAAAAGUAAAUGUUCCUUACCUGAUAAGAGAAACAUCAAUACGACACUGAAAGCAUUCAUUCAGACUUUUUGCUCAUCUCUGUUAGUAUUUCUUUGGACAGCUGCUCUGCAUUAUACUCUACCCCAAAGCACCUUACUAUUUCCAUUUUUGGAUCCAACAAGUACCUGUUUGUUUUCAUGGAAUCAGUAACCACAUUGAUUGAUAAAAGAAACAGAGCUUUGCUUUGUAAUAUUUGUAUAAAGCUAAAAAAACAGUUGAUCUUACAUUUUGUGGGAUGAGUCAAUAAGAUAAUCAUUCCCAUCUUCUUCAAUCUUCUUGAAAUAAACACGAUACUCGUGAGCUAUCUGUCUCGUAGCAGAAACAGGUCCCGUCAACCCAAUUAUCCUGUGGUCGAAUUCUGCAUUGUGAAUAGAAAUUGGGUUGAGAUACUUUUGCAGUAAAACCUCUAGUAGAAAUUGCAGAUGAGACUAAAGACUAACCUUUGAGGUAAGCACGAAGUUGUGAUGGGGUAUCUCGUUGAGGAUCAAGUGUAACGAAAACUGGAACUACAGUCUCUUUCUGUUUGGAAUCUUCUUCCAGUUCAAAAGAAAAACAAAAUAGUAAUGGUAAGUAAAACAGGAUAACUAGAAAAGAAUGGAAGAGGAAAACUUAAAAAUGCAAAUAUGCAAUUGCGCCAAACCUAAUAUGUUGAGGACUUUGGCCAUUUUUUCAACUUCCUCGGGUCCAACGUCAGGUGAAGAAGUAUAUCCAAAGUAAAGAAGUACCCACUUCCCCAAAAGGUCGCGUUCUGUAACCAAACGACGCUCAGUAUCAAACAGAUUGAAAGGUCCUCCAAUCAUGGGUCCAGAUAUGGUUUUGUUUGCAUGCUGGGAACCUUGUCCUGAUCAAUAAAAAAAAAGCCAUUAGCCUACUUCGCAAAGAACAACACUUCCAAUAACAUGAUAUAUUCAUCUAUAAUGACUAUAUUGCUCAGAAGAAUAAAGACGGAAAAAUGUUAGCCUUGAGAAAAAUAUUGACUAAUAGAUAAUUUUGUUAAAAGUUUCAAGUUGAUAGCUAUAGAACCUAUCAUUCUAAUGCACAACCAACCAUCAUACCUCUCCUCUAGCAAGCACAGGACACACUCAUGCAGCAUGAGUCAUGCUGUCACAUGCCUGCCUUGUAGUUUCAGAAAUUAUCUAGUCAAAUAGUCAAUGACUCAAUGCUAUGCUAGUGGUCAGGUCCUCCAUUAUCAAACUUCCAGAUUGUUUGUCAGUUUGGUUCAUGAAUAACGGGAGCAUAACAAGGAAAUAUCACGUUCUGGAAGUUGGUCGUGGGACUUCUCAUUUCAAACCAAAGCUGCGAUAAGGAUAAUUCUUGAAAGUAGAAUAGGCUUAAGUGUUUUGACAGGCCAGUUCUCUCAUCCAGGCCAAUUUCUAUAUGAUCAAUCCUUAGUGUUUGUCACCGUUCAUAUUGCUCAUUUUCUCUUUCCAUCCCCACAUAAUAAAAAAAGGUUAUAAAAGAUAUUACCCAGGUAGAAUAAAGAAAUAUACGUAAACUAAUGGAGUCAGGUAAGGCAAAAGAAUCAAAGAGAAACAACAUAUUUUUCAGAUUUUUGUGUCAAUUGAAUUCAUGGAAAGACAACCUUGUAAAACUGAUCUCCUCUCAUCAUUCUUAUGAACAACAACUGCGCCAGUUCCAGCAAACAAUAGUAAACCUGCAGGCUGCAAAUGUGUUACUAUAAGAACCCGAACAAACUCCAGUGUAAGAAAGUUAUACACAAAAUCUGUGUUAAACUACUUAAAAAGAAGAUAGAAUCUUUCGGUUAUUUUUUUGGUUGACAUGGCAAUCCAGGACUUUUCGGAAGAGGUGCUUACUGAAGUGAAAAAGUUCAAUACUAUGCUCAUUGCUCUUCUUCAAUAUGAACAGUAAUAAAUUGUAAUUGAAGAGUUUAUGCCACAUACCACUAAAAAUGAAAACCAUGAACUAGACUUGACAUCUGACGGUUUCCUGUAAAGUGGAUGUUGAUGAUUUAACUUUUCCUUGUUGUAUUUUGGCCCGUUGCUGUAGUUACGCGACUGGAAUCUUCUACAAGAACCUAACCUACAAUGAGAGCACACAGGUCAAGAUGAGAAGACACAAUGCAAGCAUGACUGUUCUACAAUAUAAAGCUAUACAUGCAUCGCACUGAAAAAAAAGAAAAGAAUGCAUCACUGUUUGAUAGAAACUGUAGUACAAUCAGUCAAACUAUUGUACUGAAAUAACGCAAGUAAAAAUAAUAAAAUAUGAUUCCAAGUAAAAGUCUAAGCUUUUUAGAAGUGUUCGAAAAUUAUUUCAUCUAAUCAACACUUCAACAGAAAGAAAUAAAAAGGCUCAUAAGAACAUUUAAUUCCACAGAAAGUAUUAACUGAACAAAUGGACCUGGAAUGCACUAAAGGGAUACUGGGGUAGCAAGCACCACAAUAGGCUCAUAAAUUGGAAAUGGCCAAGAGCAUAAGUGACUCCUUCGCCUCUGGGUUUCCAAACUGAGGGUUUAUUCAUCCGUAUAAACUUCUAAAUCCAAAUAAGGUUCUUGACAGUGAUAGAAAUGUUCAACCACAUAACAUUAACUCUUUUAAUUAAACUCCAACAUACUAGGAAUUUAUUUAUAUACCGGGAAACCAUUCACCCAUUGUCUUGUUGUAUUUAAACCUAUCAAAAUAAGUUUACAGGAUCUGAAAAAUGCAUAAACUCACUUCAAGUUAAGCAAACGAGUUUUCCAAAAAGCUGAAUUCCAAUUAUUUCACAGAAUCUACAUACUGUACAAAAACAACAAAAACUCAAUGACCCCAAAAGACCAAUGUCGUCCGGUUAAUGAUCUGCUAAAUUUAAAACCCGAAAAUCCUCAACAGAUCAAGCCUAUCUAUACUCAGUUUUGACUACCGCGACAGCGACCACCUAAAAAAGCUGUAACAACCACCAAUCAAAAUCCCUAAAAUCCUAUGUCUUCAAGUGAACUUCAUCAAUAUGUUUUUGAAAACCACUCUACUUCCUCCCAAAAGUUGCACUCAAUUAGUAAUGAUUUCAUAAUAUCCAUAUUUUAAGAACUUGUUUCAUUAAGUUUGCUUGUAAGUCAUCAACCCAAGAUUUUUUGAGAAAACUCAAUGUAGGUAAUCAAUUAUCAUACCCAGUUAAGAGUUCAUAAUGAGCUGAAUAGAGCUAAUAUAAAUCCGAACAAAACAAACCAAGAACUAUAAAUUCAUCACAAACUUCAAAUUACUAAUGAUUUCAUAAUAUCCCAAUCUCAAGCACUUGUUUCGCUAGAAAACCAAAUCAAUCUAAUGUAGCUAAUCAUACCAGUUAAGAGUUCAUAAGAGAGAGCUGAAUAGAGCUCAAUAUAAGCUAAUAUAAAUCAGAACAAAAUAAACCAACAACUAUAAAUUCAUCACGAUCUUCAAAUUACUAAACAAAACCAAUCCAGCAAACUCAACUAAUGAGAAAAAGGAAAUCCAUGCGAACAAAGCGAUCGAUACGCAAAAGAAAUCCAAGAAAACAAACAAACAAACCCUAGAAUUAAACAAUAUGUAAUUAAUUGCACCCAAGCAGGUAAACUUACCCUUUCUGAAGAUUAACAAAAGCUCUUGCACGAUUCAGAAUGGAAAAAGCAGCAAAACGAGACAUAAUCAAGAAUUCGGAAUCUCAAAAGUCGAUCAAUGGAGCGAAAUCUCUACUUUGAAACAAGUUUUUGGAGAAUUUUGGCGGCAUUUGAAGUCUUUUUGAGAGAAAGAAAGGGUUUAAAGAGAAGAAUUCAGACAGAACAAGAGGUACUUGCGAGCCAAUUCAAGCGGUUUUCUUGAGCUACAAGUCUAGUCAACGAAAGUCAAAGAUGAAAGAACAACGGGGAUUUAAGACCGGGCUGGGCCGGGCCAUGUCAGUUAGAAAUAGAACAGAAAAUGUUGAGAUUCAAGUCCACGGACUUUAUUUGCUAAAAACCAGCUUAUUAAGGGAUCUAAUAAGUAAUAAGGGCCAUGUCGUAGACGCUAUACCAAAAACAAUAUCAAUGUCACAACCAGUAAUUUAGGCUAUUUGCUUAUUUAAAGAAUUAUUAUUUUUUAUUUUUUUUAUAGAAUUUUUUUAUUUUAUUGAUAAGUUCAACGAAUUACACAAAGUAGAAGACAAACGCGCUACAAACUGCGCGACAAGCGGGGUUGAGGGACCAAUACUCUUAAAUUAAGUGUGAAAAUUUACGUCAACAAUAUGUUGUUGUUGACGUGUUUCAAACCCACAACCUCUCCGGGUUUUUUAAUAGGGGUAUUACCAUUUAGCCACAAGCUCAUUCACCAGUGUUGAUCAUACUUAUUUAGUGAUGGACUGAAAAAAGAAAUAUUCUAGAGGAAAAAAAAAAACUGAAAAUAUAAGUGGGAAAAAAUGCUUCUUUGUUUUUUUUUUUUUUGAAAAAAAUGGUUGUGUAGUGUGUACUUGAAUGGAAGGAACCCAAGACGCCAAAUAUUUGAGUUUCUAGAAACCAAGGCCAAACAGGACAAAGUGAGACUGCUCACUGUCACACGCUUCAAGAAUCAAGAUCUCAGUAUCUUUGAAUUUUCAAUCAUACAGAGUACGUAUAGUAGCCAAUAAGACUCGUAACAAAAACGACUUAAGAAAAUUUAGAAAGAGUCCUCAGUCCUCAGUCCUCAGUCCUCAGUCCGCUAGCUGUCCAAGUUAUGGGCUAUUUCGGAAACAAUUGGCACCUUCACGGAAAUUCACCAAACGCUGAAACAAGACGUGCCAUUGAAGAAUCCCUCGAGCCUCAACUACCAGUUCCUCUCUUUUGACCAUACUUCAACACGUAAAUGUUAACUGUCAUCCACUAGACCCCUAAUACUUUCACCAUUAAGUCAGAAUCUAAUUCCCAUCUACAUAUAUAAAGGAUACAUUACAAACCUUUUCAUCAAACACAAGCAAAGUUUGACAAUCAUCAGUAUGAAAAUGGGGAAGAAGAAAUGGUCUUUGAAGAAGAUAAGUAAAGAGGUAUGGCCAAGGCGAUGGAGGUUAUUCAGCAGCUAUGGUGGGUUUAAGUGGAAAAGACUUGAUUUUAAGAAAUCCUUCUUGGAUAACUUCAUCUUUGGGAUAAUUUCUGUUUUUGAAGCUAUUGUUUUAGUAGCAACUGUAGGUUUCUUUUAUUGUUUUUGCGGUUGCAAUUUUUAGUUUUGUACAUACAUACUUCAAUCCAAUAUCGAUCAGUUCUUUGAUAAUCUUGUUAGUCUCGUUGUUGUUGUUCAUAAAAAGAAAUUCAAGGUUCCUGCAGUGCGGAGAAAUAAGAGUGGAAUGAACAACCAUAGGGUAAUGUAGAAUGGUUUUGGAUUUAAUCCAUUUUGUUUAGGUACCCGUACCAGUUCUCGACUUCUUUCUGCAACAUAAUUUAUCCAGAUUUUAUGCAUUUUUAUUUUAUUUACACUAGCCAGCCAGCCAGCCAUUAUACAGUAUGUAGUUCAAUUCAACCAGCUGACAUAUAUAAGCAAAGAAGAAGAAAGAAAAUGACAUACCUCAUACAAGCAUCCAAAAAGUUGCGAACUUGUAAUAUUAUGAAGACCUUUUAAGAACGUCUCCAAAAAGCACUCACUUCUCACUCAUCAAAGAAUACAUUCCUGAACAGCGUGCUAGAAAAACCACUGUCAGGUUAGCCCAAGACCCUCUACGGCUUUACAACAUAACAAGUACAGACUAGACUCAACGGACAACCAGAUCCGCAAUUCUGCAGAUCUGCCUGCCCUCCCUUUCCUGUUAUUAUCUUGUUCAGAGCUUGCCAGUCCCUCCUCCUCUGCAUAACCAGCGACUGACAGUGUGUAUUAAUGCUGCUUCUCAUGUGCUUUUGCCAAUGGUGGCACUUACCAGAGACAGAAGGCUUUCUACGGAAAAACUUCCAUACCAAGGAGCAAAGAGCUUCACUGAUAGGAGAAUAUAAUAAGUGAUUUCUUUUUUCCUACAUCCUAAAGAGAUGACACAAUGGUAAAAUCCACUAAGAAGAGUUCAGCCAUUAAGGAGGUUUUCCCAAGUACCCACAAGGACGUAUUUCUAUGUUUUACAUUCUGAUCAAAUAUUACCUCAGGUUGAUCAAAAGUAGCAUAUUGAGGUAGAAAGAUCCAUAUAAUAAGCCAUUAAGCCUCAACAUUCUGCCUGGAUGGCACCAUUGCUCAUUAUAUAGAUUAUAGACCACCAUUCUCAAUUUAAACUAAAUGAGUUUAAACACUGUAAAUAAUGAACGUCAAUUUUCUUCUUAUUAUUGGAAAGCUAGGGUUUUAAUUUUGAUUAUACAAAAAAUCAUAAAAUUACAAUCUGCCCCCAUUUAAGACAAUGGAAUUUUAAUAAAAUUCCAAUCUAACAAAAUAGGGGUAAAUUAAAAUUUUACAAUUUUAGUAAAAUCAUAUAAAACAAAAAUUAAAAACCUAAUUCUCCCGAGAUAAAAAAAAAGAUGGCGGUUCAUUCCCUAUAUUGUUUUAGCUUUUCAAUGAUUUUUACUACUAAAAUAAAAAUGAUGUUAAUAAAUGAUAUGAUAAUAUAAGGACAGUUUGAAUAUUAUCUCAAAGUUGAAGUAUUUUAACUGCACAGUGCUCAUAACAAAAUAAAAUAUACAUGGAGAACUCCAGGGAAAAAAAAACGGACCCAAUUAAGGUGUGGAAAUAUAAGAUUGGACCAGUUAGGGAACUAAUGGUAAAAUAGGCCCAACCGCUGAUUUCCGUGUCUUAUGGACUAGUUUACCCUUCGACUGAUGCAAAGACUUGUUUGCAUAUCAUAAACAUAUAAACAUACUUAUUUAUAUCAGUCACAAUACAAAUAUAAAAUGCAAAGACUUGUUUGCAUACUUGCAAACAACAACAUAAACCAUAAAAUGUAAAUGCAAAGAAUUGUUUGCAUACUCGAAACGACGACAAGAUAAACUAGAAAAUGUAAAGACUUGUUUGCAUCAGUGAUAACACAUAAAGAUUAAAUGCAAAAACUUGUUUGCAUACUCGAAACAAUGACAUACCAUAAAAUGCAAACAUUUGUUUGCAUAAACCAGAAGGAUAUUAUCGGUAGUGAAAGGGUCGUUUUUACAAUAUCGACGUUAAAUGGGUCUUUUUUUAUUUUACAAAUGCUUAAUGAGGGCCAAUUUUACAAACCGGGCCUUAGUUGGGCCAAUUGUGUUUUAUAGGUGCUUAAUGAGAGCCUAGAACCAUUUCCAUGUGGCCCACUCUUGUAUUUCUGAUACCAACUAUUCCAAUUAUUCUCUAAAACCCAAGAACAAUACAGUAUAACAAAUAAAUGAUAUCUUUUUUGUCUUUGAAAAAAAAAAGGUUUUAAUUUUAAUUGGUUUUAUUGAACUCCCAAAAUUACAAACUGCCAUAGUCAUCGAAUUAUGAGUCAUGACAACCACUAAUAAUGAUCAAAUUAUAAUUUUAAUAAAAUAAUUUUACUAAAUUUUAUUUAGAACUUCAAUAAAACCAAUUAAAAUUAAAAUUCUACUUUUUAAAAAAAACAAAAAAAACAUUCAUUCACAACACACUGCAUUAGGUUUUGAAUCAAUUUAAAAUAAUGAGAAUGGGUGGUAUCGGAAAUACAAAAGUUAUUUGCGUAUUUUUUUUUUUUUUUUGGCAGCUUAAAAAUCAAAAAUCUUCAAAAGAGAGAGAUGUUCAUAUGUAGCAUAAAGUCCUUAACUCUAGUUUUGGAUUAAACAUAGAAAAAAUCCAUUUCAUUUUUUUGGCAAUUUAAAAAUCUCCAAAAGAGAGAUAUGUAGCAUAAAGUCCUCAACAUUUUAUUUUUGGGAUUAAACAUAAAAAAGUGUUAUUCUUCCCAAUCAAAUAAACCGUCAAAAAACCCAAAUUUUUUUAUUUUUGGAAUUAAACAUAAAAAGUGUUAUUCUUCCCACUCAAAUAAACCAUCAAAAAACCCAAAUUGUAGAAAUAGUUAAAAAUUAUCGAAAAACCUAAUACUAAUUUACUAUUAUACCCAGUACUAAUUUACUAUUGUACCCAGAGCUCACCGCAUCAUAUAGAUCCCACCUUAGCCUAUAUAAAAUUUUAUUUUAUAAACAAAAUCAUUAAAUUAAAUAACAAAACUACCUUAAGCAUCCCUAAGGUAAAAAGAAUGAAAAAAACCAUUUCUAAUUGACGAUUAAAUUUGAGUCGUACUAAAAUUUGGUGUUUUCAUCAAAUUUAAUAUCACAAAUAGAGACAAAAAAAAAAACGUUCAGAACUAGAUGGGCAUAGAAAAAUCGGCCAAAUAUGGGCAUAGAAAAAUCAGCCAAAUACAAGUUAACAUGAAAAUAACAUAAUACCCAUUUAAAGAUGCUAUCUACACACAUCAAUAAAUAUAUAAUAUUAUUAAAAUAAGUGGGUUGGGUCUAUUAGAACCGCUUAAAGAUAGGCAGGCCUGGGUAAGGUCUAUUAGAACCGCAUAAAGAUAGGCAGGCCUCUACCCUUUUAGGGGAAUACACCAUAAAAAUUUUUAGCACCCAAUGAGGUUACCAUUACCACGUAUAUUAAGGAUGAAUGCGAAUUCGUUCCAGUCUAACUCUCCACCAGAUAAAACCAUAUGCCUGUUAACCCUGAUGGAAUAUAAACAAAUAUUCUAACAAAAAUUUAAAACCACGUUGCUUCACCUGGUAGAGAGUUGGUCUGAGCAUAGUACAAAAUAUCGCGAUAUAUCACGAUAUAUCGCGAUACGAUAUAUUUCCAAAAUUUUCGCCUUAAAAUAUCUGCCAAUAUUUUUCGAUAUUUACCGAUAUUUUCUGGAAAUAUUAUUUUUUUUCAAAUUUUUUUUUUUUGAAAUAAUUUGUUUAUUCUAUUUUUAGUAGAUAUGAUGUUUUUUAGGUAAAUACUAUGAAAAUAUACUUCCAAAUUUGAUUUUAUAUAUAUUUUGUAUAACAAAUUGAUAUAUUAAUCGAUACAUUCCAUGUAAAAUAUCCACCGAUAGAUUCCAAUAUAUCAUGAUAUAUCUAUUUUUUGGAGAUCGAUACAUUAGUCGAUAACGAUAUUUUGUACUAUGGGUCUGAGUAUGGAGUAAGUUCUUUCUCACUAAUGAUUAUUAAAAAAAAUAAUGUUCUAACCCAAUCUUUAAAUACCAUAUUAACAUCUGUCUGCUUCCUUAAUUUUUUUUGGUUCUGACAAUUAUAAAAACGUGUUCUACCGGCCCUGUGAGAACUUAAUCUUUAAGUACCAUAUCAACAUCUGUCUGCUUCCAUAAUCUUUUUGGUUCUUUGCAAUUUUUGGUGGUAAGAUUAAUUUAAUCAAAAAAUUUAAAUCACUUUAUCUGAAAACUUUAAAAAAACAAAAAUUAUACAAAAUUUGAGAAAGGUGAAAGUUAAAAAAAUUUAAAUCACUUUAUCUGAAAACUUUAAAAAAACAAAAAUUAUACAAAAUUUGAGAAAGGUGAAAGUUAAAAACACAGGAGUACUUGAGAGAAAUGUUCCAAAACUUAUAAAGCACGGCUGCAAAAUUUAUAAAAGUAUUAAAAAGAUUUGUGGGGAAAUUAUAGGUGCUUGGGAAAAGAUUGAUAGAAAUAAUUUACACCUCUCCAGCCUCUCGUGGCCAAGUUCUUGAUGUUAUCAUCAAAAUUAUUACCUAGAUUCGGUGAAACUAUGUUAAGGGGAAAUAACUUGGAAGUGGUCGAGUGGAUUAAUUAAAACAAAUAUGUAGGCAUCAUAUUUUUUUAGUUUAUAGUUUAAUUAAAAAGCAAACUAAUAUUUUCUUUUCAGUGAAGGCAGUUGAUUAACAAAGCGAACAAGAAAAAGUGAAUAAUUACAUUCACCAACUAAAAACACUGUCACACUAGAUCUAUGUAUUACAACUAAAAAAAUACAAGUUAAACCCAAAUUCAAUACACAUAACACCAGAACUUAAUAGAAAAAUAAAAUUCUCAAUUUGCUCUCAGUUGAAGGGCACAAUUUUUCCACAUUAGAUCUUCAGAAGAAAGAAAUACCCUUUCAAACACAUUAAAAAGCUUUCCUUUAUGCUUAAUUUAGCUUUCUUCUCUUCUUUAAUUAAAUGGAAAAUUAAAAAAAAAAAAAAACAAACUUCCAUUUCCUUAAAAAAGAGGAAUCACAAAACUACAUCAAGCAUAAUAGAAACAUUAAUUAAUAUAUAAUAAAAGGGCAGUUAUCUUUCCUCUUCAAAUCUUCUUCAGUGUGGUUAAAGCAAUCAAUCGUCAUUGAGCACAAAAAAUAUAAACAGAUCAGAUUAAAGUAAAUAAAAAACAGGGUGUAGAACCUACGAGAAAAAGCGAGAAACAAUAAAAAUAAUUAAGGGUUUCCGCAUGUCCAGAAGUUCUUCUAUUAUGACUAAUUUUGCAACUCUUUUGUUCAAAUUUCUGCUAUAUUUAGCAGAAAUUUAUCAAUAAUACAAGGAAGAGUGCAUAACAGAAGAAAAAAGGAAGAUAAAUCGCUAUAUAAGAACAAAAACUAGAAAAAAAAAUAAAAAAUUGAAGAGACAAUCAGAGUAGCAGGUGAAGAAAAACAGUUUUCUUCAAAGGACUUGCCUUUAAUGCGCAGCAAACCAAUGUUGCUGCGGUUUAAAGGCAGUCUUUUGAAGAUAAAACCCCUAAAAUGCAGAUAGAGUGAUGGGAUGUGCUGAAUUUAUACUCGAAAUUAGGGUUUUGAGAAAG
Molecule: long non-coding RNA, 40857 nt
Filed under: Aquilegia coerulea
Lineage: Eukaryota; Viridiplantae; Streptophyta; Magnoliopsida; Ranunculales; Ranunculaceae
Description: long non-coding RNA (ACOE_LNC000868)
Source: RNAcentral